UUAAAACUCAUUUAUUUUGUAGUGCUAUGAAAACGCCUUCCUAAGGAUUUCAUAACACCUUUACUCAGGAUUGCAGCUUCUCCUGGAGCUGGGUCAAGGUUUGCAUCUGAAUACAUACACUGAUAACCCUGUGAGUUAAACAAGACUACAGAUCCUGCCAGAUCACUCUAAUUGAGACUGUGGUAUGAAAAGCACCAAACACUUAAGGCAAGAAGCUUUUUCAAAUAAUUCUGUUCUGGCUUGAAAUGCAGAACCUGAUCCUGAGCCUGCUAAGUCCUUGGAAAGAACUCUGCUGUCCAUGUUGUCCCCAGCUUGGUUGGUUGUCCAUGCAUGACUAAGUGAUUCAGCAAUGAAAAAGAGAUCAAAGUAAGUUUUAAAAAACUUAAGUAAAAAAAAAAUGUAUAGAAAUAUGUAUUUAAUAAUAAUAAUCCUAAAUGACAAAUGACUAUCAAUGUCUAUCAGGAAUGAUCUUUCUCUCCAACUAAUAAGAAAAAUAGUUUCAUAUGAGUAUGGCAAAAUUUAAUAAAAUUUC
RNAcentral lists this long non-coding RNA (532 nucleotides) under Anser cygnoides (Swan goose). RNAcentral's name for it is "lncRNA (ENSACDG00005002572.1)". The record is from RNAcentral. Lineage: Eukaryota; Metazoa; Chordata; Aves; Anseriformes; Anatidae.